GAAGACACGGGGUCCGCGCGUGUGCAUACAGACACAUCUUCCUUUCUUCUACAGAGAGUGGAAGCAGGAGCUGGUUAUUGUCCGGGGCAAUGUGUACAUUUCCAGAUUCUGCUCUGUGAAUUGAAACGCCAACUUUCCCAUUAUAAACGCAUCAGUGUGAUCACCUUGACUUAUCCUGCCGCCGAGGACUUCUGCUCCAGCCAAAUGCCUCCCAGCCAAGACCCAAGGAGCUUGCCAAAUGGUUUCAUUUCUCGGAUUGUCAGAACUCAUCGGCUUCCUUUGUGUUGUGUGUUUCCUGGCAACCCCGAGACGAAGCACUUCUCACCAUUGAACCUAUUAGGAAAUGUGGUACCGCCAACCUCAUCCAGUCUAAUCCCUCGGGGUGGAUGCAGAGGGCGAGAUAGGAAAGAGAAGGUUACGAGGCUGGACCAACAUCUGCUGCACGUCUAAGCACCCUCUGAAGUCUUCCCGGAAGUGGCAUUGCAGUCACAUGGGAUCCAGGCAUGGAAGUCUACUUAGCAUAUAUAAUCCCUCUGUCUUUCUUCUCCAAGGAAAGCCAGCACAGAUGCAAACCAUCUCACAUGACCCACCUCUGUCUUUAUCGCCUUCUGACAGUUUCCACCUGUUGGCUCAAGUGAAGCCUUCUCCACGCCUCUCUGAAGUUCUUAAGCAGUGAGUGGUGUCAUCAGUAUGGCCAGAGCAGUGAGGAUCAAUGGGGCCUUAACCUGAAGCAUCCUGCAUUAGGGAGUGUUGUGGCAAAGUCACGGCAGAUCAAUUCUCUCCUUCAGAUGUCAGCAAAGAGCAGCUUCAAGAUUAUUUCGGGGAGCUAGUGUUAUAUCAGGCUAUGGGAUGGGCUUUAUGUUGCUGUUGAUUCUUAAAGUAGCUCCAAGGAGUUGGAGAGAUGGCUUAGCAGGCAAGGGCACUUGGUGCUCUUUCUGAGGACCUGAUAUUUAUUCCAAGCACUCUCAGGAAGUGCACAACCACCUGUAACUCUAGUUCCUGGGGACCAGAUGUCCCCUUCUGGUCUCUGCAGGCACCAGCAUGCAUGUACCCAUACCAGACCCAUGUAUACACACAUACUUACACAUAAAUCUUAAAAGUUAACUUCAGGAAGCAGAGGCUGAAAAGGGGCAGUGGAGCGGCUGGAUGUUUGAUGGCUUGUGCUUCUUCCUAAGAUAGCAAUAAUGCCGUUACCUGGGGAUGCUUUGGAGAGGCGAAAUCUCAACUCCCACACAGAUAUAAGUGGCAGAUGGGUCAGUGAUUUUACUUCAAUUAUUUAUUAUCCAGGAAAUCAAUAGGCUGCUACCAUUGGCUCAAAAGACCUUCAAAAGAACAGAUGAUCUAUAUGGUUUCUCGAGUGCUGAAAUGAAUUUUCUACUGGAUGCAGAAUUGGUCAGUAUCCACAGGCCCAAGAGCUCCUUGCCACGUCCUGGAUUUAGGGAUGAAGAAUCCUUGUGUCUUGCUUCAAAACUGUGUGUGAUACAUAGUCUCCAAGGGUCUGGCGCAUCUGCAGGAGCUGAAGGGAAGAAGUGGAGAAAAGCUUUGGCGUGGGCCCAGCAAUCCUGUGUAUUCCCGCUUCCGAGCGCUGUUGGCGGGAGUUCAUGCAGACAAGCCGACGUACCACAAAGGGAAAGUGCUGUUCUACUCAUGUAGCCUGGAGGAAAAGAAAACAUGUGGCUGGGGAGAUGGGUCCCUUGGUAAAAGGCUUGCCUGUGUAAAUAUGAGGACCCGAGUUCAAUCCCCAUACCCUCAGAGAAAAGCCAGCAUGGUGGCAUGAGUUUGUAAUCCCAGCACUAGGGAGCCAGACACAGGUGGACUUCUGGGGUUCCCUGGCCAGUGAGAGACCCUGUUUCAAAUGGGAGGCCAAUAUUUCUUUAAAAAUGACAUCCGUGGCUGAUCUCUACCUUUCACAUGCUCAGACAUACAUGCAUGAGAGUGCACAUGCACACAUGUGUACAUACAUACACGCCUGUGCACAUGUGCGCACACACACAUGCAUGGCAUUAUACGAGAGGGAGAAAUAAAGCUGUUUGCCAAAAAA
Long non-coding RNA from Mus musculus (house mouse), 2041 nucleotides. RefSeq annotates it as predicted gene 14637. The transcript has 3 exons. The record is from RefSeq and is marked validated. NCBI's taxonomy places the organism in Eukaryota, Metazoa, Chordata, Mammalia, Rodentia, Muridae.